This 347-nucleotide ribosomal RNA is filed under the name uncultured bacterium. RNAcentral's name for it is "partial 16S ribosomal RNA". It matches the Rfam family "Bacterial small subunit ribosomal RNA", at positions 338 to 696 of the family's 1533-position model. The record is from RNAcentral.
CCUACGGGUGGCAGCAGUCGAGAAUCAUUCACAAUGGGGGAAACCCUGAUGGUGCGACGCCGCGUGGGGGAAUGAAGGUCUUCGGAUUGUAAACCCCUGUCAUGUGGGAGCAAAUUAAAAAGAUAGUACCACAAGAGGAAGAGACGGCUAACGCUGUGCCAGCAGCCGAGGUAAUACAGAGGUCGCAAGCGUUGUUCGGAAUCACUGGGCGUAAAGCGUGCGUAGGCGGUUUCGUAAGUCGUAUGUGAAAGGCGCGGGCUCAACCGGCGGCCGGCACCUGAAACUGGGAGACUAGAGUAAAGGAGAGGGGACCGGAAUUCUCGGUGUAGCAGUGAAAUGCGUAGAUA